CGCGGCCUAUCAGCUUGUUGGUGGGGUGAUGGCCUACCAAGGCGACGACGGGUAGCCGGCCUGAGAGGGUGUCCGGCCACACUGGGACUGAGAUACGGCCCAGACUCCUACGGGAGGCAGCAGUGGGGAAUAUUGCACAAUGGGCGCAAGCCUGAUGCAGCGACGCCGCGUGGGGGAUGACGGCCUUCGGGUUGUAAACCUCUUUCACCAUCGGCGAAGCCGGGAGCUUUUGUUUCUGGUGACGGUAGGUGGAGAAGAAGCACCGGCCAACUACGUGCCAGCAGCCGCGGUAAUACGUAGGGUGCGAGCGUUGUCCGGAAUUACUGGGCGUAAAGAGCUCGUAGGUGGUUUGUCGCGUUGUCCGUGAAAUUCCCUGGCUUAACUGGGGGCGUGCGGGCGAUACGGGCAGACUGGAGUACUGCAGGGGAGACUGGAAUUCCUGGUGUAGCGGUGGAAUGUGCAGAUAUCAGGAGGAACACCGGUGGCGAAGGCGGGUCUCUGGGCAGUAACUGACGCUGAGGAGCGAAAGCGUGGGGAGCGAACAGGAUUAGAUACCCUGGUAGUCCACGCCGUAAACGGUGGGUACUAGGUGUGGGUUUCCUUCCUUGGGAUCCGUGCCGUAGCUAACGCAUUAAGUACCCCGCCUGGGGAGUACGG
Molecule: ribosomal RNA, 657 nt
Filed under: uncultured bacterium
Lineage: Bacteria
Description: bacterial SSU rRNA
Rfam family: Bacterial small subunit ribosomal RNA
Source: RNAcentral